Molecule: ribosomal RNA, 696 nt
Filed under: uncultured bacterium
Lineage: Bacteria
Description: bacterial SSU rRNA
Rfam family: Bacterial small subunit ribosomal RNA
Source: RNAcentral
AACGCUAGCUACAGGCUUAACACAUGCAAGUCGAGGGGAAACGACAUCGAAAGCUUGCUUUUGAUGGGCGUCGACCGGCGCACGGGUGAGUAACGCGUAUCCAACCUGCCCACCACUUGGGGAUAACCUUGCGAAAGUAAGACUAAUACCCAAUGAUAUCUCUAGAAGACAUCUGAAAGAGAUUAAAGAUUUAUCGGUGAUGGAUGGGGAUGCGUCUGAUUAGCUUGUUGGCGGGGUAACGGCCCACCAAGGCGACGAUCAGUAGGGGUUCUGAGAGGAAGGUCCCCCACAUUGGAACUGAGACACGGUCCAAACUCCUACGGGAGGCAGCAGUGAGGAAUAUUGGUCAAUGGGCGAGAGCCUGAACCAGCCAAGUAGCGUGCAGGAUGACGGCCCUAUGGGUUGUAAACUGCUUUUAUAAGGGAAUAAAGUGAGAGUCGUGACUCUUUUUGCAUGUACCUUAUGAAUAAGGACCGGCUAAUUCCGUGCCAGCAGCCGCGGUAAUACGGAAGGUCCGGGCGUUAUCCGGAUUUAUUGGGUUUAAAGGGAGCGUAGGCCGGAGAUUAAGCGUGUUGUGAAAUGUAGACGCUCAACGUCUGCACUGCAGCGCGAACUGGUUUCCUUGAGUACGCACAAAGUGGGCGGAAUUCGUGGUGUAGCGGUGAAAUGCUUAGAUAUCACGAAGAACUCCGAUUG